GUGGCAUUGAUGUAACGGUUAGCAUCUCUCCCUGUGAAGGAGACUGUGCGGGUUCAAAUCCCGUAUGUCACCCCC
This 75-nucleotide transfer RNA is filed under the name Nitrosomonadaceae bacterium. Its description in RNAcentral is "tRNA-His". It matches the Rfam family "tRNA". From Rfam's summary of the family: Transfer RNA (tRNA) molecules are approximately 80 nucleotides in length. Lineage: Bacteria; Pseudomonadati; Pseudomonadota; Betaproteobacteria; Nitrosomonadales; Nitrosomonadaceae. The record is from RNAcentral.